UACGUAGGGGGCAAGCGUUGUCCGGAUUUAUUGGGCGUAAAGAGCGUGUAGGCGGCCAAGCAGGUCAGCUGUGAAAACUCGAGGCUCAACCUCGAGACGUCGGUUGAAACCGCUUGGCUAGAGUCCGGAAGAGGAGAGUGGAAUUCCCGGUGUAGCGGUGAAAUGCGCAGAUAUCGGGAAGAACACCCGUGGCGAAGGCGGCUCUCUGGGCCGGCCCUGACACUGAGACGCGAAGGCGUGGGGAGCGAACGGG
This 253-nucleotide ribosomal RNA is filed under the name uncultured bacterium. RNAcentral's name for it is "partial 16S ribosomal RNA". It matches the Rfam family "Bacterial small subunit ribosomal RNA", at positions 524 to 776 of the family's 1533-position model. The record is from RNAcentral.